AUGGACUGUUUCUUGCCUGUAUUUAUAUGCGCACCCCUGCUGGAACAACUCGCUACAUGGUCUCCAAUCCAGCUACCAGUGAGUAUAUUGUGCUGCCUCACUCUGGCUAUGCUGGCAACGCUGGCAACGCUUACCUGGGUUUCGACAGGGACUGAGGGGUUUCAUGUGUUCAAGUUUGUAGAGGACUGGUCACCCCCGGACCACCGGGGUAAAGAAUCCAUGGUUGUGACACGGGUGAGGAUUUACUCUUCAAAAACUGGUGCAUGGGUAGCAAUGGAACCCAAAUGGGACAUCCAAGUUAGCUUGUGCUUUGGUCAACCUGGAGUUUUCCAUAAGGGCUGUUUGCACCUGCUCACAGAUGAGUCCGGAUUGGCGAUAGUUGAUGCAGAAGGGCUAAGAUGGAGAACCGUCCAGCUGCCAAUACUUGUUGCUAGGAGUUUCUCAGGUUUCAUCGGGAAGUCUGCCGGACAGCUACUUUAUAUCGCCUCCCUUGAUAGUCAGGGAUACGGCUCAGACAGAUCUUUGACUAUAUCGAUUUACGUUCUUAAUGUUGAGAUUUAUAACUGGGAUGUCUGUCAUCAGGAUGACAAACGCAUGUACUGGAAAUUGUACAAGUUUUCAAAUGUAAUUCCAAAGAAGAAGUUUCUCAAAGUCAUUGGAGUACACCCACAUGCCAAUCUGAUCUUCAUAGCUCACUCAAAAAACGAAAUGUUGGCAUACGAUUUGGAUCGUCAUGAAAGUCCAGUUGUAUAUCACCUUGACCAUAACUACCAUAGGUUUAUGCAAUUUUGCCCGUAUGUGCCGCUGUUGUCCUACCUACCGUUGGACGGAGCAAUACGGCUGGCAGCUCCCAAUUGA
This 858-nucleotide ribosomal RNA is filed under the name Triticum aestivum (bread wheat). Its description in RNAcentral is "partial small subunit ribosomal RNA". The record is from RNAcentral. Lineage: Eukaryota; Viridiplantae; Streptophyta; Magnoliopsida; Poales; Poaceae.